GCGGGGGUGGCACAGCCCGGUCAACUGCGCUGGAUUGAGGUUCCAGUGUCUUAGCGACUACGAGAGUUCAAAUCUCUCCCCCCGCA
RNAcentral lists this transfer RNA (86 nucleotides) under Microcaldota archaeon. Its description in RNAcentral is "tRNA-Leu". It matches the Rfam family "tRNA". Rfam says of the family: Transfer RNA (tRNA) molecules are approximately 80 nucleotides in length. Their secondary structure includes four short double-helical elements and three loops (D, anti-codon, and T loops). Lineage: Archaea; Nanobdellati; Microcaldota. The record is from RNAcentral.